Non-coding RNA from Triticum aestivum (bread wheat), 139 nucleotides. The record is from Rfam. Lineage: Eukaryota; Viridiplantae; Streptophyta; Magnoliopsida; Poales; Poaceae.
AAGGUUGAUGAAGAGGAUGUUGUCUCUCACAUCCUUGCCGGGCUCGAUGAGGAGUUCAACCCCGUAGUUUCCACCAUGUGCUCCCGGGUAGAGCCGGUCACUUUCCCGGAGUUGUACUCGCAGCUCCUAAGCUUCAAGA